Molecule: non-coding RNA, 714 nt
Organism: Ictidomys tridecemlineatus (thirteen-lined ground squirrel)
Lineage: Eukaryota; Metazoa; Chordata; Mammalia; Rodentia; Sciuridae
Source: RefSeq, a predicted model, not a curated record
GAGGCGGAGCGCUUGCAGCCCCUGCAACUAGCGGUAUAUAUACCCGGGACCAGGGCGAGGCCCGCGUGGCCCGUUUCCCGGGAAGCCAAACGCCAGCUCCAGGGGGGGCCCCGUCCGCGGGCCACAUGAGGUGCGUCUAGUUCUUACUUCUAUUUCUUAUCUUGACCACUGGCUUGGUCCAUUCGGAUGUGACAUUCGACUUCUUGGGACGUGUCUCAGUACUGUCACCUGAAAGUCCUGGGCUGGGGGAUCUUCCCUCUGCGCCCUGAAGGUGGUUGGAGCACAGGUGUGAGCCAUCGAGUGAACCUGCUUCUGGAGCGUUCUGAUGCCAGAUCAUUUCCUGCACUGAGAAUUUAGCACAGAUCAAAUCACAACACAGUACAACCUCAAAGGAGUGCUCAUACCAGCUUCACCGGUGAUAACCACAAACUGGAAACAGCCCAGAUGUCUGAUCAGUAAGAAGCUGGAUAAACCAUGGUAUAUCCAUACAAAAGAAUACCAUUUUGCAAUAAAAAGGAAUAAGCUAUCAGUACAUGAAUGACACAGAUGAAUCUCAGAAACAUUAUGCAGAGUGAAGAAAACUUCAUUCAGAAGAGAACACUGCAAUGACUCCAUUUAUGUGAAGUCUUAGAACUGGCUAUGCUAAUCUGUGGAGGAAAAACAAUGGCUGUGUGGGCCUUCCCUGUUAGUAAAGGGUCUUUGAAUACAUUUUAA